RNAcentral lists this transfer RNA (74 nucleotides) under Candidatus Dojkabacteria bacterium. Its description in RNAcentral is "tRNA-Met". It matches the Rfam family "tRNA". Rfam says of the family: Transfer RNA (tRNA) molecules are approximately 80 nucleotides in length. The record is from RNAcentral.
GGUGAUGUAGCUCAGUUGGCUAGAGCACAGGAUUCAUAAACCUGGGGUCGAGAGUUCGAAUCUCUCCAUCACCA